GUGACAAGAAAUAACAAUACAGGACUUUUUGGUUUUGUAAUUGGAAUGAGUUAAGUAUAAACCCCUUUACAAGUAUCAAUUGGAGGGCAAGUCUGGUGCCAGCAGCCGCGGUAAUUCCAGCUCCAAUAGCGUAUAUUAAAGUUGUUGCAGUUAAAAAGCUCGUAGUUGGAUUUCUGUUAAUAAUUUAUAUAAAAUAUUUUGAAUAUUUAUAUAACAUUAACAUAAUUCAUAUUACUAUAUUUUUUAGUAUAUGAAAUUUUACUUUGAGAAAAUUAGAGUGCUUAAAGCAGGCAUAUGCCUUGAAUACUCCAGCAUGGAAUAAUAUUAAAGAUUUUUAUCUUUUUUAUUGGUUCUAAGAUAAGAAUAAUGAUUAAUAGGGACAGUUGGGGGCAUUUGUAUUUAACAGUCAGAGGUGAAAUUCUUAGAUUUGUUAAAGACAAACUAAUGCGAAAGCAUUUGCCA
This 462-nucleotide ribosomal RNA is filed under the name Cryptosporidium parvum. Its description in RNAcentral is "SSU rRNA". It matches the Rfam family "Eukaryotic small subunit ribosomal RNA", at positions 467 to 960 of the family's 1831-position model. Lineage: Eukaryota; Apicomplexa; Conoidasida; Eucoccidiorida; Cryptosporidiidae. The record is from RNAcentral.